CCUACGGGAGGCAGCAGUAAGGAAUAUUGGUCAAUGGACGCAAGUCUGAACCAGCCAUGCCGCGUGAAGGAUUAAGGCCCUCUGGGUUGUAAACUUCUUUUAUAGGGGACGAAAAAAGGGCAUUCUUGCUCACUUGACGGUACCCUAGGAAUAAGCACCGGCUAACUCCGUGCCAGCAGCCGCGGUAAUACGGAGGGUGCAAGCGUUAUCCGGAUUUACUGGGUUUAAAGGGUGCGUAGGUGGGUUGGUAAGUCAGUGGUGAAAUCUUCGAGCUUAACUCGGAAACUGCCAUUGAUACUAUCAAUCUUGAAUCAUCUAGAGGUAAGCGGAAUAUGUCAUGUAGCGGUGAAAUGCUUAGAUAUGACAUAGAACACCAAUUGCGGAGGCAGCUUACUAUGGAUGUAUUGACACUGAGGCACGAAAGCGUGGGGAUCAAACAGGAUUAGAUACCCUGGUAGUCCACGCCCUAAACCGAUGGAUACUCGACAUUUGUGAUAUACUAUAAGUGUCUGAGCGAAAGCACUAAGUAUCCCACCUGGAAGUACGACCGCAAGGUUGAACUCAAGGAAUUGACGG
This 576-nucleotide ribosomal RNA is filed under the name uncultured bacterium. RNAcentral's name for it is "bacterial SSU rRNA". It matches the Rfam family "Bacterial small subunit ribosomal RNA", at positions 338 to 916 of the family's 1533-position model. The record is from RNAcentral.